UACGUAGGGUGCAGGCGUUAAUCGGAAUUACUGGGCGUAAAGCGUGCGCAGGCGGUUUCUUAAGUCAGAUGUGAAAGCCCCGGGCUUAACCUGGGAACUGCGUUUGAAACUGGGAGACUUGAGUGUGGCAGAGGGGGGUGGAAUUCCGACGUGUAGCAGUGAAAUGCGUAGAUAUGUGGAGGAACACCGAUGGCGAAGGCAGCCCCCUGGGUUAACACUGACGCUCAUGCACGAAAGCGUGGGGAGCAAACAGG
RNAcentral lists this ribosomal RNA (254 nucleotides) under uncultured bacterium. RNAcentral's name for it is "partial 16S ribosomal RNA". It matches the Rfam family "Bacterial small subunit ribosomal RNA", at positions 524 to 776 of the family's 1533-position model. The record is from RNAcentral.